AAACAUUAAUAAUUUUUCUCUAUGCUCCUUCUUUAUGUAUCUGUAUAUAUAUUUAUAAGUAGAAAUAUGGUUAACGAUGGAUAGUGUUGUAAAUCUAAGCGAUCAAGAGCUAGGGAAGUUUAUGAGCAAAACCUAUGCCUUCUUGUUGUUGUUUCUUUAGAACGAAGCAAGAGACAAAGUGAAUGUAUUGGAUUUGGUAAGGAAGAGGAAGAAGCAGCAGAAGCAGAGGUUCUUGAAAGAUGGCCUGAAAAAGAUAACUUAAAAGAGUGCCAAUGUCAUAAAAGGGGUCCUAUGGCACACAGGGUUAAGUCAGGCAAAAGAAAGAAAUUAAAACAAAAGGUAAAUAUUUAUAUAUAAAGUAAAUUUUCAAGUAUUUUCUUGUUAACUAGGAUGUUGAUAUAGAGAGGUUCUUGUAAAGUAUAUAUUGGCAUAAAUAUGGAGCUUGAAGCUCACGUCUAUUAAUAUGAAUUUGCAACAUUAAUGUUCAGAACGAUCCAAUUCAACCCAUGUUGUAAUGCAGUGUUUCAGACAAGGGUAUUGGUUAGUUGUUCAUUAUUACCUCUGCUGGUAACUUGGAUUGAUUUAUCAUGCAUGUUCGACUUUGAACGUGUGUAUUUUAAAGAAAUUGUUGAUUAACAAAAAAAAGUUGUUUACAACUAGCAAAAACAAUGAAAC
RNAcentral lists this long non-coding RNA (675 nucleotides) under Brassica napus (rape). RNAcentral's name for it is "long non-coding RNA (BNAP_LNC017868)". The record is from RNAcentral. Lineage: Eukaryota; Viridiplantae; Streptophyta; Magnoliopsida; Brassicales; Brassicaceae.